Molecule: small RNA, 91 nt
Filed under: unclassified sequences
Also listed under: 1 other name
Description: ATPC.2008-01-16 RNA
Rfam family: ATPC RNA motif
Source: RNAcentral
UUUACAAAGGGUCUGUAAUCUGGCAAAAUAUCUAAUCGCGUAGGUCUGAAAGUAUCAGACCCAUUCUUAAUUUAAAGAAUGUCCAAGCGUG